This 434-nucleotide ribosomal RNA is filed under the name uncultured Ruminococcus sp. Its description in RNAcentral is "bacterial SSU rRNA". It matches the Rfam family "Bacterial small subunit ribosomal RNA", at positions 341 to 792 of the family's 1533-position model. Lineage: Bacteria; Bacillati; Bacillota; Clostridia; Eubacteriales; Oscillospiraceae. The record is from RNAcentral.
ACGGGAGGCAGCAGUGGGGAAUAUUGCACAAUGGGGGAAACCCUGAUGCAGCGAUGCCGCGUGGAGGAAGAAGGUUUUCGGAUUGUAAACUCCUGUCUUAAAGGACGAUAAUGACGGUACUUUAGGAGGAAGCUCCGGCUAACUACGUGCCAGCAGCCGCGGUAAUACGUAGGGAGCGAGCGUUGUCCGGAAUUACUGGGUGUAAAGGGAGCGUAGGCGGGAUUGCAAGUCAGAUGUGAAAACUAUGGGCUUAACCCAUAGACUGCAUUUGAAACUGUAGUUCUUGAGUGAGGUAGAGGUAAGCGGAAUUCCUGGUGUAGCGGUGAAAUGCGUAGAUAUCAGGAGGAACACCGGUGGCGAAGGCGGCUUACUGGGCUUUUACUGACGCUGAGGCUCGAAAGCGUGGGGAGCAAACAGGAUUAGAUACCCUGGUA